RNAcentral lists this transfer RNA (80 nucleotides) under Malassezia japonica. RNAcentral describes it as "tRNA-Ala". It matches the Rfam family "tRNA". From Rfam's summary of the family: Transfer RNA (tRNA) molecules are approximately 80 nucleotides in length. Lineage: Eukaryota; Fungi; Basidiomycota; Malasseziomycetes; Malasseziales; Malasseziaceae. The record is from RNAcentral.
GGGGAAUUAGCUCAGUGGUAGAGCGCUUGCUUAGCAUUACUGAUUGCAUGAGGCCGUGGGUUCAAUUCCCACAUUCUCCA